Molecule: long non-coding RNA, 238 nt
Filed under: Hordeum vulgare
Lineage: Eukaryota; Viridiplantae; Streptophyta; Magnoliopsida; Poales; Poaceae
Description: long non-coding RNA (HVUL_LNC020131)
Source: RNAcentral
UUUGAUUUCAUCCAUAAAUCGACCCUCCCUCCUAUGCUAUGAGUUUCAGUACCAAUAGGAAUUCGAGCACACCCAUUGAGGAGGUCAGUAGAUUAGCAGCAGCGAUGCUAAGAAGAUUUUUUUACUCACUAUAAUCGCUCGCAGAAUAACGCCAGUCACGAGAUGGCCGCGUAUGACCGUAGUUCCCCUUGCACUACAAUGUGGUUCCAUUCGGAAAUGGAAUUUGUUUCAAACUUGG